Molecule: ribosomal RNA, 492 nt
Filed under: uncultured bacterium
Lineage: Bacteria
Description: partial 16S ribosomal RNA
Rfam family: Bacterial small subunit ribosomal RNA
Source: RNAcentral
AGUGAACGCUGGCGGUAGGCCCAACACAUGCAAGUCGAACGGCAGCACAGUAAGAGCUUGCUCUUACGGGUGGCGAGUGGCGGACGGGUGGGGAAUACAUCGGAAUCUACUUUUUCGUGGGGGAUAACGUAGGGAAACUUACGCUAAUACCGCAUACGACCUACGGGUGAAAGCAGGGGAUCUUCGGACCUUGCGCGAUUGAAUGAGCCGAUGUCGGAUUAGCUAGUUGGCGGGGUAAAGGCCCACCAAGGCGACGAUCCGUAGCUGGUCUGAGAGGAUGAUCAGCCACACUGGAACUGAGACACGGUCCAGACUCCUACGGGAGGCAGCAGUGGGGAAUAUUGGACAAUGGGCGCAAGCCUGAUCCAGCCAUACCGCGUGGGUGAAGAAGGCCUUCGGGUUGUAAAGCCCUUUUGUUGGGAAAGAAAAGCAGCAGGUUAAUACCCCGCUGUUCUGACGGUACCCAAAGAAUAAGCACCGGCUAACUUCGUG